RNAcentral lists this long non-coding RNA (159 nucleotides) under Mustela putorius furo (domestic ferret). RNAcentral's name for it is "lncRNA (ENSMPUG00000030100.1)". The record is from RNAcentral. Lineage: Eukaryota; Metazoa; Chordata; Mammalia; Carnivora; Mustelidae.
AGAAAAUGUUGUUAUUGCAAUUUUUCGCGUCAAAAAAGUGCCAGUUGGAUGGCUGCUGGCUGGUUGCUGGCUGGAUCACUUCAAUUCUUCUCAGAAAGUGACUCAUGAACUUCAGCUUACUCCAAUGUUAGUCUCAGUUUUUCAAGCAAAGCCACAGAA